This 216-nucleotide ribosomal RNA is filed under the name Glomeromycotina sp. Its description in RNAcentral is "partial small subunit ribosomal RNA". The stretch from base 40 to 216 matches the Rfam family "Eukaryotic small subunit ribosomal RNA", at positions 686 to 864 of the family's 1831-position model. The record is from RNAcentral. Lineage: Eukaryota; Fungi; Glomeromycota.
GGGUCAGUAGGUUGGUCGUGCCACCGGUACGUACUGGUCUCAAUGAUUCCUCCUUCCUGAAGAACCGUAAUGCCAUUAAUUUGGUGUUGCGGGGAGACAGGACUGUUACUUUGAAAAAAUUAGAGUGUUUAGAGCAAGCUAACGCUUGAAUACAUUAGCAUGGAAUAAUGAAAUAGGACGAUCGAUCCUAUUUUGUUGGUUUCUAGGAUUGACGUA